This 468-nucleotide ribosomal RNA is filed under the name uncultured bacterium. RNAcentral describes it as "partial 16S ribosomal RNA". It matches the Rfam family "Bacterial small subunit ribosomal RNA", at positions 28 to 507 of the family's 1533-position model. The record is from RNAcentral.
GACGAACGCUGGCGGCGUGCUUAACACAUGCAAGUCGAACGGAAAGGCCCUGCUUUUGUGGUUUGCUCGAGUGGCGAACGGGUGAGUAACACGUGAGUAACCUGCCCUUGACUUUGGGAUAACUUCAGGAAACUGGGGCUAAUACCGGAUAGGAGCUCCUGCGGCAUGGUGGUGGUUGGAAAGUUUCGGCGGUUGGGGAUGGACUCGCGGCUUAUCAGCUUGUUGGUGGGGUAGUGGCUUACCAAGGCUUUGACGGGUAGCCGGCCUGAGAGGGUGACCGGCCACAUUGGGACUGAGAUACGGCCCAGACUCCUACGGGAGGCAGCAGUGGGGAAUAUUGCACAAUGGGCGGAAGCCUGAUGCAGAAACGCCGCGUGCGGGAUGACGGCCUUCGGGUUGUAAACCGCUUUCGCCUGUGACGAAGAGUGAGUGACGGUAAUGGGUAAAGAAGCACCGGCUAACUACGUG